GUCUGGGGAUCUGCCCGAUAGAGGGGGAUAACCACUGGAAACGGUGGCUAAUACCGCAUAACGUCGCAAGACCAAAGAGGGGGACCUUCGGGCCUCUCACUAUCGGAUGAACCCAGAUGGGAUUAGCUAGUAGGCGGGGUAACGGCCCACCUAGGCGACGAUCCCUAGCUGGUCUGAGAGGAUGACCAGCCACACUGGAACUGAGACACGGUCCAGACUCCUACGGGAGGCAGCAGUGGGGAAUAUUGCACAAUGGGCGCAAGCCUGAUGCAGCCAUGCCGCGUGUAUGAAGAAGGCCUUCGGGUUGUAAAGUACUUUCAGCGGGGAGGAAGGCAGUGAGGUUAAUAACCUUACUGAUUGACGUUACCCGCAGAAGAAGCACCGGCUAACUCCGUGCCAGCAGCCGCGGUAAUACGGAGGGUGCAAGCGUUAAUCGGAAUUACUGGGCGUAAAGCGCACGCAGGCGGUCUGUUAAGUCAGAUGUGAAAUCCCCGGGCUUAACCUGGGAACUGCAUUUGAAACUGGCAGGCUUGAGUCUCGUAGAGGGGGGUAGAAUUCCAGGUGUAGCGGUGAAAUGCGUAGAGAUCUGGAGGAAUACCGGUGGCGAAGGCGGCCCCCUGGACGAAGACUGACGCUCAGG
Molecule: ribosomal RNA, 640 nt
Filed under: Pantoea sp.
Lineage: Bacteria; Pseudomonadati; Pseudomonadota; Gammaproteobacteria; Enterobacterales; Erwiniaceae
Description: bacterial SSU rRNA
Rfam family: Bacterial small subunit ribosomal RNA
Source: RNAcentral